GGAGGAUUCGCCUAGAGGCCUAUGGCGCCGCACUGCUAAUGCGGUUAGGGGGCAACCCCUUCAUGGGUUCAAAUCCCAUAUCCUCCG
This 87-nucleotide transfer RNA is filed under the name Nocardiopsis metallicus. It matches the Rfam family "tRNA". Rfam says of the family: Transfer RNA (tRNA) molecules are approximately 80 nucleotides in length. Their secondary structure includes four short double-helical elements and three loops (D, anti-codon, and T loops). Lineage: Bacteria; Bacillati; Actinomycetota; Actinomycetes; Streptosporangiales; Nocardiopsidaceae. The record is from Rfam by way of RNAcentral.